Molecule: ribosomal RNA, 429 nt
Filed under: Bacteroidota bacterium
Lineage: Bacteria; Pseudomonadati; Bacteroidota
Description: Bacteroidetes bacterium partial 16S ribosomal RNA
Rfam family: Bacterial small subunit ribosomal RNA
Source: RNAcentral
UAGGGAAUCUUCCGCAAUGGGCGAAAGCCUGACGGAGCAACGCCGCGUGAGUGAUGAAGGUCUUCGGAUCGUAAAACUCUGUUAUUAGGGAAGAACAAAUGUGUAAGUAACUAUGCACAUCUUGACGGUACCUAAUCAGAAAGCCACGGCUAACUACGUGCCAGCAGCCGCGGUAAUACGUAGGUGGCAAGCGUUAUCCGGAAUUAUUGGGCGUAAAGCGCGCGUAGGCGGUUUUUUAAGACUGAUGUGAAAGCCCACGGCUCAACCGUGGAGGGUCAUUGGAAACUGGAAAACUUGAGUGCAGAAGGGGAAAGUGAAAUUCCAUGUGUAGCGGUGAAAUGCGCAGAGAUAUGGAGGAACACCAGUGGCGAAGGCGACUUUCUGGUCUGUAACUGACGCUGAUGUGCGAAAGCGUGGGGAUCAAACAGG